GAUGAACGCUGGCGGCGUGCCUAAUACAUGCAAGUCGAGCGAACAGACGAGAGUGCUUGCACUCUCUGACGUUAGCGGCGGACGGGUGAGUAACACGUGGGUAACCUACCUAUAAGACUGGGAUAACUUCGGGAAACCGGAGCUAAUACCGGAUAAUAUUUAGCUUCGCAUGAAGCAAUAGUGAAAGACGGUUCUGCUGUCACUUAUAGAUGGACCCGCGGUGUAUUAGCUAGUUGGUGAGGUAACGGCUCACCAAGGCAACGAUACAUAGCCGACCUGAGAGGGUGAUCGGCCACACUGGGACUGAGACACGGCCCAGACUCCUACGGGAGGCAGCAGUAGGGAAUCUUCCGCAAUGGACGAAAGUCUGACGGAGCAAUGCCGCGUGAGUGAAGAAGGUUUUUGGAUCGUAAAACUCUGUUGUAAGGGAAGAACAAGUACGUUAGUAACUGAACGUACCUUGACGGUACCUUACCAGAAAGCCACGGCUAACUACGUG
Molecule: ribosomal RNA, 499 nt
Filed under: uncultured bacterium
Lineage: Bacteria
Description: partial 16S ribosomal RNA
Rfam family: Bacterial small subunit ribosomal RNA
Source: RNAcentral